RNAcentral lists this ribosomal RNA (227 nucleotides) under Vibrio parahaemolyticus. Its description in RNAcentral is "partial 23S ribosomal RNA". It matches the Rfam family "Bacterial large subunit ribosomal RNA", at positions 1657 to 1867 of the family's 2925-position model. Lineage: Bacteria; Pseudomonadati; Pseudomonadota; Gammaproteobacteria; Vibrionales; Vibrionaceae. The record is from RNAcentral.
ACACAGGUGGUCGGGUAGAGAAUACCAAGGCGCUUGAGAGAACUCGGGUGAAGGAACUAGGCAAAAUGGUACCGUAACUUCGGGAGAAGGUACGCUCUUGAUGGUGAAGUCCCUUGCGGAUGGAGCUAUUGAGAGUCGCAGAUACCAGGUGGCUGCAACUGUUUAUUAAAAAACACAGCACUGUGCAAAAUCGUAAGAUGACGUAUACGGUGUGACGCCUGCCCGGU